This 506-nucleotide ribosomal RNA is filed under the name uncultured bacterium. Its description in RNAcentral is "bacterial SSU rRNA". It matches the Rfam family "Bacterial small subunit ribosomal RNA", at positions 29 to 507 of the family's 1533-position model. The record is from RNAcentral.
AGCGAACGUUAGCGGCGGGCGUUAACACAUGCAAGUCGAACGAGAAAGUGUCCUUCGGGGCACAAGUACAGUGGCGCACGGGUGAGUAACACGUGGGUAACCUACCUUCUGGCGCGGGACAACAGUUCGAAAGGACUGCUAAUACCGCAUACGUUGCUGACGGCUACGGCUGUUACCAAGAAAGGGUGGUCUACUUCGGUAGGCUAUCGCCGGAAGCUGGGCCCGCGGCCCAUCAGCUUGUUGGUGAGGUAACGGCUCACCAAGGCUAAGACGGGUAGCUGGUCUGAGAGGAUGAUCAGCCACACUGGGACUGAGACACGGCCCAGACUCCUACGGGAGGCAGCAGUGGGGAAUAUUGGACAAUGGGCGCAAGCCUGAUCCAGCCACGCCGCGUGUGUGAUGAAGGCCUUCGGGUCGUAAAGCACUGUGGAGGGGGAAGAACAAGUGGCGUAAGAAACGACGCCGCCCUGACGGUACCCCUUUAGCAAGCACCGGCUAACUCCGUG